AGUGAACGCUGGCGGUAGGCCUAACACAUGCAAGUCGAACGGCAGCACAGUAAGAGCUUGCUCUUACGGGUGGCGAGUGGCGGACGGGUGAGGAAUACAUCGGAAUCUACUUUUUCGUGGGGGAUAACGUAGGGAAACUUACGCUAAUACCGCAUACGACCUACGGGUGAAAGCAGGGGAUCUUCGGACCUUGCGCGAUUGAAUGAGCCGAUGUCGGAUUAGCUAGUUGGCGGGGUAAAGGCCCACCAAGGCGACGAUCCGUAGCUGGUCAGAGAGGAUGAUCAGCGACACUGGAACUGGAACACGGUCCAGACUCCUACGGGAGGAAGCAGUGGGGAAUAUUGGACAGCGGGCGCAAGCAUGAUCCAGCCAUACCGCGUGGGUGAAGAAGGCCUUCGGGUUGUAAAGCCCUUUUGUUGGGAAAGAAAAGCAGCAGGUUAAUACCCCGCUGUUCUGACGGUACCCAAAGAAUAAGCACCGGCUAACUUCGUG
RNAcentral lists this ribosomal RNA (492 nucleotides) under uncultured bacterium. RNAcentral's name for it is "partial 16S ribosomal RNA". It matches the Rfam family "Bacterial small subunit ribosomal RNA", at positions 29 to 507 of the family's 1533-position model. The record is from RNAcentral.